CUGUGAUCGGGCUGAAGCCAUUCUUUGCCCGAGUGUCGUGCCGGGGAUUUUAAAUUGCCCCCGUUGCUGGUCUUAGCCUGUGGGGAGCCAGACCAGCUCGCGAUUGAGGCUGGGACCAUUACUACCAGUACGAGUGGACCCGUGGGGCACAAGCCUUCCUGUGUUGAACGGAGGACGUACCAGUGGCCCUGGGACCUUAGGUGGUGGGUCGUUUUCACACUUUCUUUUGUACAGCACCGGGUGGGCUGCAGUGAUUUUCGUUUUGUGUGAUUUUCUUUUGGGUCCACGGCUGCUGUGAACGGAGGACGUACCAGUGGCCCUGGGACCUUAGGUGGUGGGUCGUUUUCACACUUUCUUUUGUACAGCACCGGGUGGGCUGCAGUGAUUUUCGUUUUGUGUGAUUUUCUUUUGGGUCCACGGCUGCUGGUAAGUCCAAGUUCCAUGUUUGUUUUAUUUUCACUUUAGGACACUGUCAACAAUGACGCUACAUCUUGGUUUCUAAAUAUUUUAUUUAUUUUUACUAUAAAUAAAACUGUUUUAAUAUUGGAGCCAACCUGCCUCAGUGUGCAUCCUUGAAUCUGUGCGGCCUCCUUUUAUUCUUUUUUAUCUAUUUUUCUUAAAUAUAUUUCCUGGGGGUGAAAUUCCCCUAGGUGGCGUUGUCAUUUUAUUAUUUCUUUUAUAACCCCGCCGACCACUUGGUCACAUAAGCAUCUGCACAGACGGCAUGCUGAGGCUAAGCUAGCCAAGAACCCAGAGUGAUGUUAAAGCUGAGCCAGCCCAGCAGACACACCUCCGACCUCAACAGGUAACAAAGUGAUGAGCAGUCAGGCUGCAGCCUCUGUUUCUACAUGUUCAGUGAGUCAAAGUAAAAUCACUGAGGUGAUCGCUCUGUGCUGCUUUUCACUUUGGCUUAGUGUUCAUACC
Molecule: long non-coding RNA, 924 nt
Filed under: Oreochromis niloticus (Nile tilapia)
Lineage: Eukaryota; Metazoa; Chordata; Actinopteri; Cichliformes; Cichlidae
Description: lncRNA (ENSONIG00000030748.1)
Source: RNAcentral